This 119-nucleotide ribosomal RNA is filed under the name Pteropus alecto (black flying fox). RNAcentral also lists the same sequence under 1 other name. Lineage: Eukaryota; Metazoa; Chordata; Mammalia; Chiroptera; Pteropodidae. The record is from RNAcentral.
GUCUACAGCCAUGCCACCCUGAACACGCCCGAUCCCAUCUAAUCUCAGAAGCUAAGCAGGGUCAGACCUGGUUAGUACUUGGAUGGGAGACCACCUAGGAAUACCAGGCCCUGUAGGCG